AGGACCAGUUAGAAACUAACCCUUCAGCUAUACCAAGGAUUCCACUUCCUAAGGCAAGGCUGUUUCCAUGAUGUCAAGAAUGCUGCCACUUGUUCUUGACUCCACAGUGUGCAUAAGCUAAUGCACUUCCUUACCUAGAUCAGAAAUAAACUGAUCCAAGUAACCACCAUCAAGACUAUGAUGUCUUCUUCUUCUUGUACAUACCAAGGCUGAACAUGUUUCUUGCCAGGAAACCUUUUCAGAGAUCAUAUGCUUUU
This 257-nucleotide long non-coding RNA is filed under the name Lathyrus oleraceus (garden pea). RNAcentral's name for it is "Pisum sativum (pea) long non-coding RNA (PSAT_LNC036369)". Lineage: Eukaryota; Viridiplantae; Streptophyta; Magnoliopsida; Fabales; Fabaceae. The record is from RNAcentral.